RNAcentral lists this ribosomal RNA (225 nucleotides) under uncultured prokaryote. Its description in RNAcentral is "partial 16S ribosomal RNA". It matches the Rfam family "Bacterial small subunit ribosomal RNA", at positions 525 to 749 of the family's 1533-position model. The record is from RNAcentral.
ACGUAGGGUGCGAGCGUUAAUCGGAAUUACUGGGCGUAAAGCGCAUGCAGGUGGUUCGCUAAGUCAGGUGUGAAAGCCCCGGGCUUAACCUGGGAACGGCGCUUGUGACUGGCGGGCUGGAGUACGGCAGAGGGGGGUGGAAUUUCACGUGUAGCAGUGAAAUGCGUAGAGAUGUGAAGGAACACCGGUGGCGAAGGCAGCCCCCUGGGCAGAUACUGACGCUCA